Panicum hallii is the source of this 993-nucleotide long non-coding RNA. RefSeq lists it as uncharacterized. NCBI's taxonomy places the organism in Eukaryota, Viridiplantae, Streptophyta, Magnoliopsida, Poales, Poaceae. The record is from RefSeq and is a predicted model, not a curated record. The transcript is spliced from 3 exons.
CUGACGAGUACUCAGAACCGACCCUCUCCCUUCCAAUCUUAUCUUCUUCCCAUUCUUUUAGUCUCUCAACUCAGCACCGACCCCUCCCUGGCUUCCUCCAUCCUCUCCUCUGCUUCCUCCGAUUGAAGCUCACUGGAGGGGCAGCCUCCACCGGACGUUGCUAGUGGCGUCGGCGGCUGCGCCGAAGCCGCCAUGCGCUGCCCCUCCCCACUGCAUUUUGCUGGCAAGGCCCGACGCAGACCCAUCUAGGGCUUCGUGGGCCCACACCGCCGGCCGCCACUCCGCAGCAACGGGUCGACCAAACCCCGACGCCUCCAGGUCCGGCGCUACUACCAGUUGUCGGCACUGCCCCCAGGUUUAAUUGCUCAUGUACUGAGGAUUUGUAUUGCAGUCAACCAGCUGAUUACACAUAAGGCGGAGGCUUGAAUUGUCCUUGUGGUUCAAGUUACCUACUAGUUCAUCUCACGCUGGAGACGACAUGGAAGAUGAGGACUACAUGGAAGAAGAGGACCUGGAGGAUCUUGAUGGGGAGGACCUUAAUGAGAAUGACUCCGAUUGUGAAGAUAUGGAUGGGGAGGACAUGGAUGGAUAGGACUGGGAUGGUGAGGAUAGAGAUCGGAAAUGGAUGGUGAUGCAGAAAAUAUUGGCAGCAACAAUGGUGGAUCAAUCAGCAAUGAGUUUCGUGACUUCUGCAAUAAACAUGGCAUGUGGUAAGCAUAUCCGCUAGUGCAAUCAUCAAUCAGCAGCAAACAUGGUGCCAACUGACUUUUGUCUUUUGAAUACAUAUGGUUGUUUUCUGAACAGCAUAUGGCUAAACAAUGAUAACUUAUGAGUAGAAUGAUCAUGUGCUUCUACUCUAUGUAGUGAUGGCAAAGAAUUUGUAUAUCUAGUUGUCAACGUAUUUGGUUGAACUCUAGCUUUGUAAUCUGGAUGCUAGUGAUGUGAAAUUGUGAACCAUAUAUUGUUAUCUUGAGCCUCAAUAUUUUUCUGCAA